Molecule: ribosomal RNA, 497 nt
Filed under: uncultured bacterium
Lineage: Bacteria
Description: partial 16S ribosomal RNA
Rfam family: Bacterial small subunit ribosomal RNA
Source: RNAcentral
GACGAACGCUGGCGGCGUGCCUAAUACAUGCAAGUUGAGCGCUGAAGGUUGGUACUUGUACCAACUGGAUGAGCAGCGAACGGGUGAGUAACGCGUGGGGAAUCUGCCUUUGAGCGGGGGACAACAUUUGGAAACGAAUGCUAAUACCGCAUAAAAACUUAAAACACAAGUUUAAAGUUUGAAAGAGGCAUUGGCACAACCCAAAGAUGAUCCCGCGUUGUAUUAGCUAGUUGGUGAGGAAAAGGCUCACCAAGGCGAUGAUACAUAGCCGACCUGAGAGGGUGAUCGGCCACAUUGGGACUGAGACACGGCCCAAACUCCUACGGGAGGCAGCAGUAGGGAAUCUUCGGCAAUAGACGAAAGUCUGACCGAGCAACGCCGCGUGAGUGAAGAAGGUUUUCGGAUCGUAAAACUCUGUUGGUAGAGAAGAACGUUGGUGAGAGUGGAAAGCUCAUCAAGUGACGGUAACUACCCAGAAAGGGACGGCUAACUACGUG